UACGUAGGGGGCAAGCGUUGUCCGGAAUCAUUGGGCGUAAAGAGCGUGUAGGCGGCCAUACAGGUCCGUUGUGAAAACUGGAGGCUUAACCUCCAGACGUCGAUGGAAACCGUAUGGCUAGAGUCCGGAAGAGGAGAGUGGAAUUCCUGGUGUAGCGGUGAAAUGCGCAGAUAUCAGGAAGAACACCCGUGGCGAAGGCGGCUCUCUGGACCGAUACUGACGCUGAGGCGCGAAAGCGUGGGGAGCAAACAGG
RNAcentral lists this ribosomal RNA (253 nucleotides) under uncultured bacterium. RNAcentral describes it as "partial 16S ribosomal RNA". It matches the Rfam family "Bacterial small subunit ribosomal RNA", at positions 524 to 776 of the family's 1533-position model. The record is from RNAcentral.